UUAAGUAUAACUUUUUCUUUUUUAACAGAUGUCACAGGCCCAAAUGCCUGCAGAGGCCAAGUGGGUGACAUAAAGGAGAGAAGCUGGGCAAAUGGAGACAUUAACAAGAGGAAAGAGAAAGAGAAUUUGGAGGACAGGACACUCCGUGCCAAGAGAAGCAACUUCCCUUGCCUGCUGAUCCACAUUAGAGCAGGCAGGAGAAGAAAAAGAGAGUGGAGUGCUUUCAAAGACAGAGACCAUCUCAUGUGCCAUUUUUUAAAAUAAUAAAUUUAUUUUUUAUUGGUGUUCAAUUUGCCAACAUACAGAACAACACCCAGUGCCUUUUUUUUUAACUGCCUGUGACUCUUAGUACAACAGUAAGGAUGCCAUAAAAACAGAAAGACAAUUUUUAAACUAAGUUGAGAAAAUGUAGAUUAUAAUUCUUAUAAACUCUAUAUUGCAACUUCCAGAAAUUUAGCUUCUAUAGUUUCUAAUGCACUCUCAUAGAAGGACCAUGAGGCAGAGAGGUAUUACUUACUUUACACCCAUCAUUUCUUCUGGAGACACAGAAAAGAACAAGUUUGUUACCAUAGGUCCAAGAACUAGACCCCUUCAGAUCCAAUUUGUUCUCUCAAAAUCUACAUGGUUAACUGGAUUAAAAAUGAAUUCCCAUAAA
Canis lupus familiaris (dog) is the source of this 655-nucleotide long non-coding RNA. RefSeq lists it as uncharacterized. The record is from RefSeq and is a predicted model, not a curated record. The transcript is spliced from 2 exons. Lineage: Eukaryota; Metazoa; Chordata; Mammalia; Carnivora; Canidae.